GCAUUGCUGGUGUAGCGGUAACAUACGGGUGUUUUAUACUCCUGUGACCCUGGUUCGAGUCCAGGGCAGUGCU
Molecule: transfer RNA, 73 nt
Filed under: Strongylocentrotus purpuratus (purple sea urchin)
Lineage: Eukaryota; Metazoa; Echinodermata; Echinoidea; Camarodonta; Strongylocentrotidae
Rfam family: tRNA
About the family: Transfer RNA (tRNA) molecules are approximately 80 nucleotides in length. Their secondary structure includes four short double-helical elements and three loops (D, anti-codon, and T loops).
Source: Rfam by way of RNAcentral